RNAcentral lists this unclassified non-coding RNA (391 nucleotides) under soil metagenome. RNAcentral's name for it is "partial contains 5.8S ribosomal RNA, internal transcribed spacer 2, and large subunit ribosomal RNA". The stretch from base 1 to 122 matches the Rfam family "5.8S ribosomal RNA", at positions 35 to 154 of the family's 154-position model. The record is from RNAcentral.
GAUGAAGAACGUAGCGAAAUGCGAUACUUGGUGUGAAUUGCAGAAUCCCGUGAACCAUCGAGUCUUUGAACGCAAGUUGCGCCCGAAGCCACUAGGCCGAGGGCACGCCUGCCUGGGCGUCACACGUCGUUGCCCCCCCAUCUACUCCUUCGGGAUUGCGGGGGGGCGGAUGAUGGCCUCCCGUGCGCCUAGCCGCGCGGUUGGCAUAAAUACCAAGUUCUCGGCGACGCACGCCACGACAAUCGGUGGUUGCGAAACCUCGGUUGCCCGUCGUGUGCGUUCGUCGCGCAUCGAGGGCUCGAAAAAAUGCUCGGCUUCGGCUCGGCUUUCAACGCGACCCCAGGUCAGGCGGGGUUACCCGCUGAAUUUAAGCAUAUCAAUAAGCGGAGGA